ACCACCUGGCUGACCCACUGUCACUUGGCAGCUCAGCGGUCCCUGCUGAGCAGGACAAGGACUGAGGACAUCCGCGGAGGGUUUCACAUAGAUGUAACCGGCUGAGGCUGGAGCAGUUGCUGUCGGGUAUGUGGGGAGGAACACUGUCACCUGGCAGCUCAGAGGUCCCUGCUGAGCAGGUCAGGGAUUGAGGACAUCUGUGGAAGAUUUCGCACAGAUGUAACCUGCUGAGGCUGGAGGAGAUGCUGUCAGUGGUCCACAGAGCAUCCACUCCAAUGUCUGAAAUAUGCCGGCUGCUCCCCAGACGAAUGAGAACAAGAAGCUAGGAUGAGCUAUGUUGAUGUGAAAAGUAUCAAAAUAAAACUCCCUGGAAAACAAGAAGCAACCGGAGGAGUGUGACUCUUGUCUCUCCUCAGCCCUGAGCUCAGCUGGCCCUUCCAUAGAGCGACAUCUGCAUGGUGUGGUCUGCUUCACCUCUGCCAAGUUUGUUGGAGUAGUGAAAAGGCUUAACACAGCUCCUGGACUCAGUCCAGCGAACCACAGUUUUUUGGGCUAGGUACUUAGAAAAUGCAUUUUUAAUAUGCUGGAAAAGUAAAUGCCAUGCCCAUUAAACUUUCAGAACC
This 623-nucleotide long non-coding RNA is filed under the name Mus caroli (Ryukyu mouse). RNAcentral's name for it is "lncRNA (MGP_CAROLIEiJ_G0006789.1)". The record is from RNAcentral. Lineage: Eukaryota; Metazoa; Chordata; Mammalia; Rodentia; Muridae.